AACGAACGCUGGCGGCAUGCCUAACACAUGCAAGUCGAACAAGACCUUCGGGUCUAGUGGCGCACGGGUGCGUAACACGUGGGAAUUUGCCUCGGGGUAUGGAAUAACUCAGGGAAACUUGAGCUAAUACCAUAUAAUGUCUUCGGACCAAAGAUUUAUCGCCCUGAGAUAAGCCCGCGUAGGAUUAGCUAGUUGGUGGGGUAAAGGCUCACCAAGGCGACGAUCCUUAGCUGGUCUGAGAGGAUGAUCAGCCACACUGGGACUGAGACACGGCCCAGACUCCUACGGGAGGGCAGCAGUGGGGAAUAUUGGACAAUGGGCGAAAGCCUGAUCCAGCAAUGCCGCGUGAGUGAUGAA
This 357-nucleotide ribosomal RNA is filed under the name uncultured bacterium. RNAcentral describes it as "bacterial SSU rRNA". It matches the Rfam family "Bacterial small subunit ribosomal RNA", at positions 29 to 412 of the family's 1533-position model. The record is from RNAcentral.